Molecule: ribosomal RNA, 804 nt
Filed under: Bacteroides caccae
Lineage: Bacteria; Pseudomonadati; Bacteroidota; Bacteroidia; Bacteroidales; Bacteroidaceae
Description: bacterial SSU rRNA
Rfam family: Bacterial small subunit ribosomal RNA
Source: RNAcentral
GCAGUUGAUACUGGCAGUCUUGAGUGCAGUAGAGGUGGGCGGAAUUCGUGGUGUAGCGGUGAAAUGCUUAGAUAUCACGAAGAACUCCGAUUGCGAAGGCAGCUCACUGGAGUGUAACUGACGCUGAUGCUCGAAAGUGUGGGUAUCAAACAGGAUUAGAUACCCUGGUAGUCCACACAGUAAACGAUGAAUACUCGCUGUUUGCGAUAUACAGUAAGCGGCCAAGCGAAAGCAUUAAGUAUUCCACCUGGGGAGUACGCCGGCAACGGUGAAACUCAAAGGAAUUGACGGGGGCCCGCACAAGCGGAGGAACAUGUGGUUUAAUUCGAUGAUACGCGAGGAACCUUACCCGGGCUUAAAUUGCAAAUGAAUUAUGGGGAAACCCAUACGCCGCAAGGCAUUUGUGAAGGUGCUGCAUGGUUGUCGUCAGCUCGUGCCGUGAGGUGUCGGCUUAAGUGCCAUAACGAGCGCAACCCUUAUCUUCAGUUACUAACAGGUCAUGCUGAGGACUCUGGAGAGACUGCCGUCGUAAGAUGUGAGGAAGGUGGGGAUGACGUCAAAUCAGCACGGCCCUUACGUCCGGGGCUACACACGUGUUACAAUGGGGGGUACAGAAGGCCGCUACCUGGUGACAGGAUGCCAAUCCCAAAAACCUCUCUCAGUUCGGAUCGAAGUCUGCAACCCGACUUCGUGAAGCUGGAUUCGCUAGUAAUCGCGCAUCAGCCAUGGCGCGGUGAAUACGUUCCCGGGCCUUGUACACGCCGCCCGUCAAGCCAUGAAAGCCGGGGGUACCUGAAGUACGUA